AAACUUCAAAUUUCUUCACAUAAUUCAUCAAAAUUCUUGUAUAAUCGUGUUUAGCAUGUAUCAUUGAGUAGGAAUCAGGGUUUGGUUUGAAGAAUUUGGUCAAGAAUCGUGCAUCAAAAUUCUUGUAUAAUCGUGUUUAGCAUGUAUCAUUGAGUAGGAAUCAGGGUUUGGUUUGAAGAAUUUGGUCAAGAAUCGUGCAGAUCC
RNAcentral lists this long non-coding RNA (204 nucleotides) under Lathyrus oleraceus (garden pea). Its description in RNAcentral is "Pisum sativum (pea) long non-coding RNA (PSAT_LNC008200)". Lineage: Eukaryota; Viridiplantae; Streptophyta; Magnoliopsida; Fabales; Fabaceae. The record is from RNAcentral.